AGCAAAUCCUAUAGGCAUUUGCUAGAAUACACCCACUUAUUUUUUAGAAUGAGUAUUUUAGCAAAUGAAUAACUAAAAAGUGGUUAA
This 87-nucleotide microRNA precursor is filed under the name Medicago truncatula (barrel medic). Lineage: Eukaryota; Viridiplantae; Streptophyta; Magnoliopsida; Fabales; Fabaceae. The record is from RNAcentral.